Gymnodraco acuticeps is the source of this 560-nucleotide long non-coding RNA. RefSeq lists it as uncharacterized. The record is from RefSeq and is a predicted model, not a curated record. NCBI's taxonomy places the organism in Eukaryota, Metazoa, Chordata, Actinopteri, Perciformes, Bathydraconidae. The transcript has 3 exons.
UGCUGAGCUGAAAAUGGAUAAGCGGAAGAAACGCCCGGGUGGCGCUGAAAAACUGCGACUUAAAAAGCUGAAGUCUCUGGAGGUGGAGGCUGCUAAAUAUUCUAAAUUGACGGACCUAUUUGGUGCCGGGGUCACCACCCCAGCAGGUGCUGCUGCGCCGGGAGACGAGCGAGUGGAGGCAUACAUGGUUGUUCUGAUAUAUUUGAGGAGUCGUUCUCCCUCUGUUCUAUAUGUGGACUUGUUCUCUCAUUUGGGACCACUGUUAGAAUUUGGUUGACCACUUGACAUGUGAGAGCUUGAGGAGUUGUUCCCCCUCCGUCCAUUUUCAAGGAUUUGCUCCCUUACUGCCUCCACUUCACCACUUUUUGGCUACUGAGAAGUCUAUGAUUUGUUGAGUAUGUCAGGUGUCUUAUAUGAAUUCAUACUUGAUUUGUGAUGAUGAGAGACUUAAUAAUGUUUCCAUGUCUCUUUUAGGUUGACCACCCUAUAUAUGAGAGCCUAAGGAGUUGUUUUCCCUCUGUCCCCUUUUGAGGACCUGCUUUGUCUCCUCCAUCAUUCAC